Magnolia sinica is the source of this 1330-nucleotide long non-coding RNA. RefSeq lists it as uncharacterized. NCBI's taxonomy places the organism in Eukaryota, Viridiplantae, Streptophyta, Magnoliopsida, Magnoliales, Magnoliaceae. The record is from RefSeq and is a predicted model, not a curated record. The transcript is spliced from 5 exons.
UCAGUAUCUCUCCCUCCCUCUUGAUCUCUCUCUCUCUCUCGAUCUCGAUCAGUCUCCCACUCUCUCUCUCCCUCUUCCUCUCCAACUCGGAGCUCGACGAAGAGAGCCUCAACGAGCACAACCAGGUGUGGAUCGGCUGGAGUUCAGAUCUGGUCUGUGCACUUAGGGAUUGUAUUCAGUCCAUCCAUAAGCUGAGAAAAGCAGAAGAGAAAAAGCAGUAGUGUGCAUUACAAUAUGUCAAGAUGUUGGCUCCAUUUUCAGUAGAAACUGAAUCAGAUUGGAAGAGUUGUGUAGUCUGUUUGGAUGACUUGCAUUCUGUGUUGGGAUGGUUGCAGAAUGGAUGAAGAGUGCUUAUUUGGAGGAAUUGUUGGUUGCAGAUCUAUAGGUUUGGAGGGGAAUUCUUGCGUUGGAUGAAGAGUGUUGUAUGUUUUCAGCAAGUGAAGAGCAGAGCUACAGCUGCAUUUGGUAAUGGAGUUUAUUUGGAGAAGCACAUAAAAAAUCCCAGGCACAUUGAGUUCCAGGUACAUAUUCCGAUUGAACUUUCUAUCACAUCCAUUCCAUUAGGGGCUGUUUGGAUUGGUGGAAAUAAAUAAGUGAGAAAAUGAAAUCAAUUUCCUCAGAUGUGAUGGUUUCCCUUAUUUGCAAAAGACGAGGAUUGAGGAGAUUGAUUUCCUUUUCCUUUCUAAAACCAAACAAUCAGCCAAAGGAUGGAUUGUGAUGUUGAUGUAUCAUUUAUAGUUUCAAUAGUUUCAGUUUUUUUUUUAAUUAAAAAAAUCUUUGAUGGCAUUUUCUUAAAUUUCAUAGCAUUCCUCUGUCGUAGAUCUUGUGCUAAAUGCAUGAACUGAUUAUCUUUAAAAAAAUUUUAAAAAUACAUGAUAUUAUUCUUGGUGAAGUUGUUGGUGCCUGUUUGAUUUCCCGUGCUGGAAGUCUUACAAAUCUAGCUAAGUGCCCUGCUUCUACACUUCAGAUCCUUGGUGCCGAAAAAACACUUUUCAGGUGCAUGCUUCAGCAUCUUACUUAUGCUUUAUCAUUCAUCAUCAUAAUUGUUGUUGUCAUUCUCAUCGUUGUUGUUUUUCAUGGCAAAUCCUGCUGUCAAACCAUCUAGGCGAGGAUGAUAGCCAAGUGCAUAACCUUAUGGCGUUGCUAUAUUAUCCCAGCUUUGUUCUAGUCCAAUUAAUUAUCAGGCCUCAAAACUCUUAUGUGGGCCCAGCCCAUGGGCCUUAAGCUCUAGCCAAAACAUCCAACCUGGCCCACAUUCACUGCUGAACUUGUAUUCCAGAAAGCCAUGAUUAUUGAUCUGGAUAUGGAGGGCUGUAUUUCCUGUCUUCUU